Molecule: ribosomal RNA, 1414 nt
Filed under: metagenome
Description: bacterial SSU rRNA
Rfam family: Archaeal small subunit ribosomal RNA
Source: RNAcentral
UCCAGUUUAUCCUGCUGGCGGUUGCGGCUAUCUGGUUUGCAAUAAGCCAUGCAAGUUUUCUCCGAAAGGAGGGCGAACUGCUCAGUAACACGUAGCUAAUCUGCCCUACAGUCAAGGAUAUCCUCGGGAAACUGAGAGUAAUACUUGAUAGAAUAUGAUUUCUGGAAUGAGUUAUAUUUUAAAAGCAAUGCUGUAGGAUGAGGCUGCGGCGGAUUAGGUUGUUGGCGGGGUAAAAGCCCACCAAGCCAAUGAUCCGUAAGGGCUCUUAGCGGAGAGGCCCUGAGAGGGAGUCUGAGACACUACUCCCAGCCCUACGGGGUGCAGCAGGUAGGGAUCUUCUGCAAUGCGCGCAAGCGUGACAGAGUGAACCAGAGUGUUUCUCGAUAUAGAGAAACUUUUGUCAGCUGUAAAAAGGCUGACGAAUAAGGACUGGGCAAGACUGGUGCCAGCCGCCGCGGUAAUCCCAGCAGUCCAAGUCGCAACCACAACUGUUUGGUCUAAAACAUCCGUAGCUUGCCAUAUAAGUCUUCUGUGAAAUUUCACAUCUUAAGUGUGGAGCGGGCAGAGGAUACUGUACGGCUAGGGACCGAAGGACGCAAGGAGUACGAUCAAGGUAGUGGUAAAAUAUGUUAACCUUGAUUGGACUAACAAUAGCGAAGGCACCUUGCGACGGCGGAUCCGACAGUGAGGGAUGAAAGCUAGGGGCGCAAAAUGGAUUAGAUACCCAUGUAGUCCUAGCCGUAAACACUGCAUACUAAACAUCGGGAUCUCCUCGAGAGAUUUCGGUGCUGCACCGAAGGGGAAAAGUAUGCUACCUGGGAAGUAUAGCCGCAAGGCCGAAACUUAAAGGAAUUGGCGGGGGAAUACCACAACGGGUGACGCGUGCGGUUCAAUUAGAAUCUACACCGUGAACCUUACCAGGACCGACAGCAGGAUGAAGGUCAGUCUGAAGGGCUUACCUGACACGCUGAGAGGAGGUGCAUGGCCGACGUCAGCCUGUGUCGUGAGAUGACCUGUUAAAUCAGGUAACAGGCGAGACCCGUGUGCAUAGUUGCUAUCUGAAGAAGAGGCACCCUAUGCAGACUGCCUGGGUAACCAGGAGGAAGGUGCGGGCUACGUUAGGUGAGUACGCCCCGAAUGCCCUGGGCUACACGCGCGCGGCAAUGCUGCAUGCAAUGAGAUGCAACUCCGAAAGGAGGAGCUAAUCUCCUAAUAUGCAGCUCAGUUCAGAUCGAGGUUUGCAACGAUCCUCGUGACGCUGGAAUCCGUAGUAAUUGCUCAUUAGCAGUGAGCAGUGAAUAAGUCCCUGUUCCUUGCACACACACCGCCCGUCAAACCAACCGAACUUUGCAUUGGUGAGGAUCUUCGGGAACGAGCCUUUGUAAGGUGAGGUAGGUUAAGUCGACACAAGGUC